Long non-coding RNA from Eucalyptus grandis, 534 nucleotides. RefSeq lists it as uncharacterized. The record is from RefSeq and is a predicted model, not a curated record. The transcript has 2 exons. NCBI's taxonomy places the organism in Eukaryota, Viridiplantae, Streptophyta, Magnoliopsida, Myrtales, Myrtaceae.
UCGGAGCCAAAGAAACUCCUCAAGUUUGAAGCCACAGGAUUGCAAACCCUAUAACUAGAAUAGGCACUAACUGCUCAAGAAACAUCAGCUAUCGAACCAUUACAUUCAGCUACUUAGCCUUCUUAGCCUUAUUAAUUCUCACUUUAGAAAUCCUCAACUAAAAGGGAAGGCACCUUUGAACUUGCUGCUUUCAAAGAUAAAGGCAAACGAGUUGUCGAAGAGGUAGAAAUCAUCCCUGAGCCAUUUACUUCAUAGCUUGGAGCCAGCGAAAUCACAAAAGAAAUAGGAGAAGCCCCGGGAGAACCAACUGACGUGUGAGAUUAAACUGCUCACCAAAACAGGGAGAGCAUACGAGCGCAUCAUCAAGACAGGAGGAGCAACCAACUAUUAUCUCAUGAUCCCAAAUUAGAUUAUGACACACUAUGGGUAGAAGAUCUUUUGUGUAAUCAUGUCCUAUCUUACCAAAGAUUAUCUAAGUGUAUAUCUCUAAAGCGUUGUAGCAAAACAUCUUAAGGAGAUUCUAUUUUUAAAUUA